Molecule: ribosomal RNA, 468 nt
Filed under: Triticum aestivum (bread wheat)
Lineage: Eukaryota; Viridiplantae; Streptophyta; Magnoliopsida; Poales; Poaceae
Description: partial small subunit ribosomal RNA
Source: RNAcentral
GUUUCAACAAAGCCCGUAGGAUCCGAUAAUGACAUAUUGGAUGAUGACGAGGAAGAAAGCAUGUCUAGCGCUAAUCCUAGCGAGAUUGAUCCAUUUGACAGUGUCUACUCAAACAUCCCAGACAGCACUCACAUCCUGAAACUCGCUAAAAAUUGCAAACACUGCAAGGCCAGGAAGUUUGAGUCUGAGACUGGCGGGUUCUGCUGUCACAAUGGCCAGAUUUAGCUUAAGCAACCGGAACCAAUCCCAGAGCUUAUGAGGCUAUGGUCCAGCAUGGAUGCAGAUUCUAGACAUUUUCGAGAGAACAUAUGGUUCUUCAAUGGGCAUUUCACCUUCACAACCCUUGGCGUCAGCCUUGAUGAAAACUACACAAACAUGAAGUCUGGGGUGUACACAUUCCGAGCACACGACACCAUCUACCACAACGUGCAUUCGUUCGGGCCAAGCUCCCGUCCAGAACAUCUGUAG